Molecule: ribosomal RNA, 239 nt
Filed under: uncultured bacterium
Lineage: Bacteria
Description: partial 16S ribosomal RNA
Rfam family: Bacterial small subunit ribosomal RNA
Source: RNAcentral
CGAGUGGCGGACGGGUGGGUAAUGUCUGGGAAACUGCCUGAUGGAGGGGGAUAACUACUGGAAACGGUAGCUAAUACCGCAUAACGUCGCAAGACCAAAGAGGGGGACCUUCGGGCCUCUUGCCAUCGGAUGUGCCCAGAUGGGAUUAGCUAGUAGGUGGGGUAACGGCUCACCUAGGCGACGAUCCCUAGCUGGUCUGAGAGGAUGACCAGCCACACUGGAACUGAGACACGGUCCAG